This 4043-nucleotide small RNA is filed under the name Pan troglodytes (chimpanzee). RNAcentral's name for it is "retained intron". The record is from RNAcentral. Lineage: Eukaryota; Metazoa; Chordata; Mammalia; Primates; Hominidae.
UUUGUGAUAUUAGGCAUUUGGAUGAUUGGGCAAAAAGCCAGCUGAUUGAAAUGCUCAAACAGGCAGCAGCCCUGGUGAUAACUGUGAUGUAUACUGAUGGUUCCACCCAGCUAGGAGCUGACCAGACCCCCGUUUCUUCUGUUAGAGGAAUUGUGGUGUUAGUAAAACGCCAAGCAGAGGGUGGCCAUGGCUGUCCAGAUGCCCCGGCCUGUGGUCCUGUUCUGGAGGGCUUUGUGUCAGAUGAUCCAUGCAUCUACAUUCAAAUAGAGCACUCUGCUAUCUGGGACCAAGAACAGGAGGCACAUCAGCAAUUUGCCCGGAACGUGCUAUUUCAAACACUGAAAUGUAAAUGUCCUGUUAUUUGUUUUAAUGCUAAGGAUUUUGUGAGAAUAGUGCUGCAGUUUUUUGGUAAUGAUGGCAGUUGGAAGCAUGGAUUAUGGUUUAUGGCAACUAUUUUGUACUUUGGAGCUUCCUCUGAUACCAAUUUUGGCAGUGAUGGAAAGCCACGCCAUUCAGGUGAACAAAGAGGAGAUGGAGAAGACGUCAGCACUUCUUGGGGCUCGUCUCAAGGAAUUGGAGCAAGAAGCUCAUUUUGUUGCAGGAGAACGGUUUCUUAUCAUGAGCAAUAACCAGCUUCGAGAGAUCCUCUUUGGCAAGUUAAAGCUGCACCUGCUGAGUCAAAGGAACAGUCUCCCCAGAACGGGGCUGCAGAAAUACCCGUCCACAUCAGAAGCAGUGAAUAUCCAAGGUAUCUCCAAGCACCCAAUUCAGAUUACUACACCUAAGAAUUUUAAAGGUAAAGAAGACAAGAUUCUCACGAUCUCCCCGAGGGCCAUGUUUGUUUCAUCCAAAGGCCACACCUUUCUAGCAGCAGACUUUUCACAGAUUGAAUUGCGCAUUCUUGCACAUUUAUCUGGAGAUCCAGAACUUCUGAAGUUAUUCCAGGAAUCUGAAAGAGAUGAUGUAUUUUCUACUCUGACUUCACAGUGGAAGGAUGUGCCCGUGGAACAGGUGACACACGCAGACAGAGAGCAAACCAAGAAGGUGGUGUACGCGGUGGUCUAUGGAGCAGGGAAGGAGCGGCUGGCUGCUUGCCUUGGAGUUCCUGUUCAGGAAGCUGCCCAGUUUUUGGAGAGUUUUUUGCAGAAGUACAAGAAAAUCAAGGACUUCGCCCGAGCAGCUAUUGCCCAGUGUCACCAGACAGGCUGUGUGGUGUCCAUCAUGGGCAGAAGGAGACCCCUGCCAAGGAUUCACGCUCAUGACCAGCAACUCCGGGCACAAGCAGAGCGACAGGCAGUGAACUUCGUGGUGCAAGCUCAGAGCCAGCACCUCUGUGUGGAGGUACCGUGAGAGCUGUGGCAAUGGUGCAGAAUGCUGAGUGCACCAUGAACCGUGUGCCAUGGGACCUCAAGACAGUACCACGCGCCCCAUAGGCUCUGCUGCUGACCUCUGCAAGCUGGCCAUGAUCCAUGUCUUCACUGCAGUGGCUGCUUCCCACACCUUGACGGCCAGGUCAGUGGGUGGCGGUCUCCCAGGGCUUGGAUGGGAGGGUUAGUAUUCUGUGGGAAGACCCCCUCGGGGCUCGUGAUUCUGACUGAUCACCAUCUCUGCUUAUCGGGCCCCCGUACCCUCCUGAGGCUCUCAGCCCAUGGAAGGCCAUGGGGGCUACUCACAGCAGGCAUGCAGACAACAACCAACCAUCCACCAGCGUGGAGUGCAGAUGAGGCCUCUCCAGACAGAAAUGCUGUCUCCCCCAGACCCCUCCUCCUCGGGGUGUCUGCACAGCACAGGGGCACCCCUUGGGGCUGCCCACCCCAGAGGCAGGCGAACCCCUCAGCCCCUUGAGCAGGACCCUGGGGACUCCAAACUGCCCCCACCCCUGCCUGUUGCUGCCACCAAUGCCAGGCAGUGUGCCCCACGCCCAGCUCUGCCCCCACCCCUACCUGUUGCUGCCACCAGUGCCAGGCAGUGUGCCCCACGCCCAGCUCUGCCCCCACCCCUACCUGUUGCUGCCACCAGUGCCAGGCAGUGUGCCCCAUGCCCAGCUCUGCCCCCACCCCUACCUGUUGCUGCCACCAGUGCCAGGCAGUGUGCCCCACGCCCAGCUCUGCCCCCACCCCUGAGCCCAGAGCCAACAUGCAGACGUGCCUUGGUGGGGGGGGGCUCCGACCUGGCUGCCCCCCAGGCCAUAGCUCUCUCAGGCCUCUGUCCCUGCCUCAGUUAUUCCCCCAGGGCACAUUCCUCAAGAGUGUGGGUGGCCAGGGGACAAGCAGCCCUCGCCCAGCCACCUCCUCCUUGCCAGCCAAGGCCUGGCAAGUGGUGACCCAGACACCUCCUCUCCUCGUUCUCCUUGUGCAGGAUCCCCUCAGGAGUCCCGGAGCCCCUUCUGGGAGCUAACCUGCCCCAGCCCCCCACAGUGUCAGUCCCCGAAGGGCCUCUUGCCCUCUGACACACCAUGGACGUUUUCCUACCCCCACCCUAAGAGCCCUCAAGCUCUUGGCGCCAGUCCCGUGGGGGUCUAAGCACUGCCCCAGGGACUCUGCUUGCAGCUUCACUGGGCUGUGGGCUCUCAGUGCUGCUUUCUGCAGUAACUGCAGUGGUCAGGAGGCAGGAGUGGGGCAUUAGAAGAUUCACUCUCGGCUGGGCACAGUGGCUCACGCCUGUAAUCCCAGCACUUUGGGAGGCGGAGGUGGAUGGAUCACCUGAGGUCAGGAGUUUGAGACCAACCUGGCCAACAGGGCAAAACAUCGUCUCUACUAAAAAUACAAAAAUUAGCCAGGUGUGGUGGUACACACCUGUAAUCCCAGCUACUCAGGAGGCUGAGGCAGGAGGAUCGCUUGAACCCAGGAGGUGGAGGUUGCAGUGUGCCAAGAUCGCACCACUGCACUCCAGCCUGGGCGAGAGCAAGACUCUAACAGAAAAAAAAAUAAGAUUCACUCUCAGUCCUCUCCUGCCCCAUCUCACUGCCAUCUGCAUUCAUUCCCAACACACAUGCACAUGCACACAUACGUGCACACACACGCAUACACAAGCACAUGCACCCACACACGUGUUCACCCAUGCACACAACCCAUGUACACACAUAUACGCAUAUACACUGAUGCCAGGCAGCCUCUAGUGCCCCACAGUGGUCUCAUGGUGUCCUGAAAUCCAUGCAUCCCGCUCACUUCCACAGUUUCUGCAGGUAAAUUAUAGCUUCUCCCGGGAUAUGAGCAGCUUGUGCUAGUUUCCAUCUUGGCAGGAACUGAAAGCCAAAUGGUGGUCCUGCCUCUAAGAUACUGCAAGUCUAGAAAAGUUGAUUCAAGGCUGGGCGCAGUGGCUCACACCUGUAAUCCCAGCAUUUGGGAGGCCGAGUUGGGUGGAUCACUUGAGCUCAGAAGUUUGUGAACAACAUAUGUGUUGCCUGGGCAACAUAAUGAAACCUGUCUCUACAAAAUAAAAGCCGGCCAUGGUGGUACACACCUGUAGUCCCAGCUACUCAGGAGGCUGAAGUGGGAGGAUCACCUGAGCCUGGGAGUUCAAAGCUGCAGUGAGCCAUGAUCAUACCACUGCACUCCAGCCUGGGCAACAGGGCAAGAACCUGCCUCAAAAAAAGAAAAAAUCGGUUCACUUUCAGCCCUUGUGGAAUUGAUAAAGGAAGUUGGCAUGUGAGGAGCUGAGGUUUCUCUCUGUUGCUGACUGAGUCCUUCUGAAAGCUGGACACAGACACUUUUACUCAGGAACGCAGUUACUCGCUGGUCAUCCUUCUGUCAUCAGCCAUUGGCUGUCACGAGGAAGUGCUUCUCAUAGCAAAAUGCAAAGCAGACUCGUGUGGAAUAUUGGGCACAUGGUCUGUGUUUUGUGAACGCGAUUUGUUCUUCCAGGAGUAAUGUGAAAGGCUGUGGAUGGCGUCUGGAAGGGACGGGUGCAGGCUCAGUGUGGCCAGGCAUCUCUCCCUGAAGCAGCAGGCAUGAAACUCGAUCACUGGGAGGCACACGGUGCCCCUAGAGUGAGCUGAGAUCGCACCACUGCACUCCAGCCUGGGCGAGAGCGAGACUCUGUCU